Molecule: ribosomal RNA, 484 nt
Filed under: uncultured bacterium
Lineage: Bacteria
Description: partial 16S ribosomal RNA
Rfam family: Bacterial small subunit ribosomal RNA
Source: RNAcentral
AUUGAACGCUGGCGGCAGGCCUAACACAUGCAAGUCGAGCGGAUGAAGGGAGCUUGCUCCUGGAUUCAGCGGCGGACGGGUGAGUAAUGCCUAGGAAUCUGCCUGGUAGUGGGGGAUAACGUCCGGAAACGGGCGCUAAUACCGCAUACGUCCUGAGGGAGAAAGUGGGGGAUCUUCGGACCUCACGCUAUCAGAUGAGCCUAGGUCGGAUUAGCUAGUUGGUGGGGUAAAGGCCUACCAAGGCGACGAUCCGUAACUGGUCUGAGAGGAUGAUCAGUCACACUGGAACUGAGACACGGUCCAGACUCCUACGGGAGGCAGCAGUGGGGAAUAUUGGACAAUGGGCGAAAGCCUGAUCCAGCCACGCCGCGUGUGUGAAGAAGGUCUUCGGAUUGUAAAGCACUUUAAGUUGGGAGGAAGGGCAGUAAGUUAAUACCUUGCUGUUUUGACGGUACCAACAGAAUAAGCACCGGCUAACUACGUG